AAAGAAGUUGCCCAUGUUAUUUUCGCUUUAUACGUGACGAAACAAACAUGGUGCACUUCUU
This 61-nucleotide microRNA precursor is filed under the name Octodon degus (degu). Lineage: Eukaryota; Metazoa; Chordata; Mammalia; Rodentia; Octodontidae. The record is from RNAcentral.